ACUCUCCUCCUUCCUUGGAAACAACUUUGGCUCUCCAAACGUUUAGGAUUUUCGAGGGUGUCUGAGAGUACGGAAAAAUCGAGAGGGUUAGCCAGAAAAAACGUGUGAGGUGGUUCGCUGGAUUUUCUUCGGUGAGUGGCCGGAGGGAGAACGUGUGAGGUGGUUCGCUGGAUUUUCUUCGGGGAGUGGCCGGAGGGAGAAGCAACCGAGGCUAUCGGUGUUGAAUAUCGUUGCGCGUUGGUCGGAAUAGGCGGGGGGUGUCGCCGCAUCGUCGGAAUCGGGGUUGUGACGUCGCCGUUGGCGGCGCAGCGACGAUUAGGGUUUUCGUGAGAUUUCAAAGAAGACGAAGGAAAACGGGUCGGGUUCACGUUCGGCCUCUGGACCAGCCCACGGGACGAACGCGGGCUCUGUGCGUUUCGGCCCAACGCGGACGCGCGCUGCAGCCUUGGUCUCGGCUCCGCACGCGUGCUCUCGGCUCGGCUUGACGUGUACGGCGGCUCGGCUCCGUCAAAUCCCGCAGCUCAGCUCGGCGGCUUAAUAGGUCGGCUCGGCAGCUCAGCUUGGUGAAUCGGUAUCACUAUAAUAUAUCGAUUCCAAGGUUUUUGGCCCUUCCGAAGCCGUUUCUGCCCUUAGUUUUACCAUCCGAGGACAUAUUUAACCACUGGGAUUAGCUCGUCGUGAGUGACUUCAACGAAGACCAUGAGGUAAAGGCAAGGCGCCAAUGUACGGUUGACGGUGGAGCUGAGGCCACCAUGGAAGUUGGAGACGUGAUAUUUUUAGGAGUUUACUUUCAUUAGAUUGUUUUAAGUUAUAGGAUUGAGUAUCGUUUUAUUUGGAUUUAUUUUGAAUUCAGUAUUAAAGGUUCAUUUUCGGAGUUUAGGUUUUGUUUUGGAUUCAUGAAUUUUUAGGAAAGACUAUUUCAAGGUUAUUCAUGAUGAGCUUCUGCUUAAUGAGAUAAGUAUGCAUGGGUGACGUCACUAAUUAGGUUAAAGAAAAUUAGGGGCGUUACAGUGAU
This is a long non-coding RNA of Cucurbita moschata (crookneck pumpkin), 1015 nucleotides long. RefSeq lists it as uncharacterized. NCBI's taxonomy places the organism in Eukaryota, Viridiplantae, Streptophyta, Magnoliopsida, Cucurbitales, Cucurbitaceae. The transcript has 3 exons. The record is from RefSeq and is a predicted model, not a curated record.